RNAcentral lists this long non-coding RNA (576 nucleotides) under Callithrix jacchus (white-tufted-ear marmoset). RNAcentral's name for it is "lncRNA (ENSCJAG00000083767.1)". The record is from RNAcentral. Lineage: Eukaryota; Metazoa; Chordata; Mammalia; Primates; Cebidae.
AUAAUUUGCCUAGUACAUAGAGUGUGCUUUGUGGAUUUGUUGGGUUCUCUACACACUUAGAUAAGGGAUCCUUUUGCAAAGCACUUGGCACAAUGUGUGGUACCAUAAUACAUGGUACUUGAUGAAAGAGGGCUUAUAACAACACUAUGAUAAUUAUUGCUAUUACUAGUUGUCCAUUUUGUGCUCCUGUAGCAUAAUACCACAGACUGGGUAAUUUAUAAAGAACUUGAAUAUUUUCUCAAAGUUCUAGAGCCUGGGAAGAGCAAGACCAAGAUAUUCAGUUGCUUGGUGAGAGCUGCUCUCCGCUUCCAAGGUGAUGCCUUGUUGCUGUAUCCUCCAACAGGAAGGAAUGCUGGGGCCUCACGUGACAGAAGGUAGAAAGCCUGCAGAUGGCCUAUUGUGGGACCUUGUGAUCAUGCUUUAGUCUCCUGGGAUAAUAACCCACUCCACAGGUAAAAAGAGGGUAAGUUCUCUUUUACAUCCAAUAAAGAAUGCUAACAUGACCUCUCUUCCCCACUGGGAUGUCAUUAAUACCAAAUUUAAACAAAGUAGGUUGCAGAUUUCCAAAAGGUUGGC